Molecule: small nucleolar RNA, 107 nt
Organism: Gossypium arboreum
Lineage: Eukaryota; Viridiplantae; Streptophyta; Magnoliopsida; Malvales; Malvaceae
Rfam family: Plant small nucleolar RNA R71
About the family: R71 is a member of the C/D box family of snoRNAs containing the C (UGAUGA) and D (CUGA) box motifs. Multiple nearly identical copies of this snoRNA have been identified in Arabidopsis, and it is thought to function as a 2'-O-ribose methylation guide for 18S ribosomal RNA.
Source: Rfam
AGACCAUGGUGAGAGCUUCUUUGUAUCAGCGACUUCAAUCUUUCCCAAGCUUCAUGAAAACACUCUCUUUCUAUUUGCUUAAAGUUUGCAAUCUCCCUUCUCAGUUG